GCAUGUUGCCUCAUGGGGGAAAACAAACAAACAAAAAAAAGAAGUAGGACAUGCAAGUCAAUAGAAGUAUUAAAGUUACAUCCUUUUAAUCACAGAUAAUUCCUUUGGGAUACAAUUUCUAGCUUUAGCCAGGUGUGCAUGUUGCUGUCAUUUGCAUUUUUGAAUCAUCUUGUGUAAUUGUCACCAUGAAAGUGUUACUCAGAAAUGUCAUAGGUUUUUCAUCUUUGUGCAAAACAUGAAAUAUUGUCACUGACUUUUUGUGUUGAGGUUCCCCCAUUUUGCUGCCCACUUGGGCACAGUUUUCGUUCAAUACUUGGUCUUGGCUGCAUUCUUUUUUUUCUGUGGGGUUUACAAAGAAUAAACAUUUUCUUGCAGAUAAAAAGAGAUAAUUAUUAUUUUUAUUUUUUUUUCCUUUUUUUGCCUUUUUAACUGACCCGAUUUAGAAGUGUAAAGAACAGGUUUUGUUUAAAGAGCACCCUGUUAUUCCAGAACUGACAAAGGCUUUGGAAGUGCCUGAUCUGAGAGCAUUGUUUCCCGGGAGGAAAAGGAUGAGAUGUCUCCCGUGACACGAGGCACCGGGAGAAGCCCUGUCAGGCUGCUAAAGGAUCGUGGCAAAUCAUCAUCAGAUGGAGAAGGUAAAACUCAGAGGACCAUCAUUUCUCAUCCAUGGAACCCAUCUGCACA
Molecule: long non-coding RNA, 684 nt
Filed under: Manacus vitellinus (golden-collared manakin)
Lineage: Eukaryota; Metazoa; Chordata; Aves; Passeriformes; Pipridae
Description: lncRNA (ENSMVIG00005008475.1)
Source: RNAcentral